Molecule: ribosomal RNA, 253 nt
Filed under: uncultured bacterium
Lineage: Bacteria
Description: partial 16S ribosomal RNA
Rfam family: Bacterial small subunit ribosomal RNA
Source: RNAcentral
UACGUAGGCAGCGAGCGUUGUUCGGAAUUACUGGGCGUAAAGAGUGUGUAGGCGGCGCUCUAAGUUCGGUGUGAAAUCUCUCGGCUUAACUGGGAGGGUGCGCCGGAAACUGGAGUGCUCGAACGUGGGAGAGGAAAGCGGAAUUCCUGGUGUAGCGGUGAAAUGCGCAGAUAUCAGGAGGAACACCGGUGGCGAAGGCGGGUCUCUGGGCCGAAAUUGACGCUGAGGAGCGAAAGCGUGGGGAGCAAACAGG